UACGUAGGUGGCAAGCGUUGUCCGGAAUUAUUGGGCGUAAAGCGCGCGCAGGCGGCCUCUUAAGUCUGAUGUGAAAGCCCCCGGCUCAACCGGGGAGGGCCAUUGGAAACUGGGAGGCUUGAGUAUAGGAGAGAAGAGUGGAAUUCCACGUGUAGCGGUGAAAUGCGUAGAGAUGUGGAGGAACACCAGUGGCGAAGGCGACUCUUUGGCCUAUAACUGACGCUGAGGAGCGAAAGCAUGGGGAGCGAACAGG
RNAcentral lists this ribosomal RNA (253 nucleotides) under uncultured bacterium. RNAcentral's name for it is "partial 16S ribosomal RNA". It matches the Rfam family "Bacterial small subunit ribosomal RNA", at positions 524 to 776 of the family's 1533-position model. The record is from RNAcentral.